Molecule: long non-coding RNA, 1144 nt
Filed under: Homo sapiens (human)
Lineage: Eukaryota; Metazoa; Chordata; Mammalia; Primates; Hominidae
Description: HSALNT0293054
Source: RNAcentral
CUCAGCCUCCCAAAGUGCUGGGAUUACAGGCGUGAGCCACUGCGCCUGGCCAGUAGUUUAGUUCUAUACUUGAAUUGAUGGAUUGCAUUCUAUCUUGUAAAAUUUGAAUAAAAAGUAAAUACAGUGUUUACCAGUGAAGUUAUUUACUCAUUACAUAUUGAUAUAAUUGAUAAUCACUACAUAUUUUAUCAUAUUGAAUUCAAGACACUGUGAUAACAGAUUUUUUUGAAGCAAAAUCCUGUUUUAAGUCUUUGGAUAUAGUACUUUUGCUGACCACUCUUGCAUUUGUCUCUCCAACAUUAUUCCCCACCUCAUUCCCAUUAUGAAACAGUUCACUGUUUGGAGAGCUGGGCCCCACCUCCGGCUCCGAGAUCAAUCCUGAUUGGGUGAAACUAAUCUGAGUAACCCCUCCUUCACAGGGGUUUGUCAGAUAACCCAGGCUUGAGCCAAUCACCGUUCUCUGGGACACAGAUUGGACUGAGUUAUCUUGUAACUGUCAUACUCCAGAUUUAUGUGGGAGCAGGAACUCCUUUGGACCUUAAGGAGGAAGCACGUGGCUGCUUUUACCUGCUGGCAGUUAUCUUGUGUUCUUGAAGGAAGCAGGCCUGAGGAGGACUCCUCAUACAGAGAGAAACACCGAGAGAUUCACUGAAAAACUGACAUGGGAUCCUGAGGGGCCACUCUUGAAGACUUAUCUCUGCACCUUUCUGGGCACUGUGCAUACAGCAAUGAUCAGCAUGAUUCCAGUGCUCAGAGAGCUCCAAGGAUUAGUUGAGACCAGACAAGAAUAUCAAGGAGGCAUGCAGAAGUUACAAUGGGAAAUCAAAAAGAAGACAAAGGAGGGACACCUAAUUCAGAACGAUGGGUUUGUUGGAUAGGAGAGAAAAGGAGACGAAUGGGCAGGUAUCAUCAAAGAUUCCUAAGAAGAAGUUCCUAACUUCUGUUUUUGUGCCAUUGACUCUUUGGCAGUGUGGAGAAACCCAGGGACCCAUUUUCAGAACAGUGUUUUUAAAUGCAUAAAAUAUUUUGGAUUAAAAGGAAACUCUGAGUAUUGAAAUACCUAACAAAAUAUUUUAAAAGCAAAUUUGUAAUACAGUAAUGUAUAUGCUUCUUUAUUAACUAAUUAAAGAACAAGAUAUAGCAA